This 468-nucleotide ribosomal RNA is filed under the name uncultured bacterium. Its description in RNAcentral is "partial 16S ribosomal RNA". It matches the Rfam family "Bacterial small subunit ribosomal RNA", at positions 28 to 507 of the family's 1533-position model. The record is from RNAcentral.
GACGAACGCUGGCGGCGUGCCUAACACAUGCCAGUCGAACGGGAACGCCCUGCUUUUGUGCGGUGCUCGAGUGGCGAACGGGUGAGGAACACGUGAGUAACCUGCCCUUGACUUUGGGAUAACUUCAGGAAACUGGGGCUAAUACCGGACAGGAGACGCCGCUGCAUGGUGGGGGUUGGAAAGUUUCGGCGUGUGGGGAUGGAUUCGCGGCUGAUCAGCUUGUUGGUUGGCUAGUGGCUUACCAAGGAUUUGAAGGGUAGCCGGCCUGGGAGGGGGGCCGGCGACCAUAGGACUGAGGGACGGACCAGACGGGUACGGGAGGCAACAGGGGGAAAUCUUACACAAUCAGCGGGAGCCUGAUGCGGCAACGCCGCGUGCGGGAUGACGGCCUUUGGGUUGUAAACAGCUUUCGCCUGUGACGAAGCGGGAGUGACGGUACUGGGUGAAGAAGCACCGGCUAACUACGUG